This 86-nucleotide transfer RNA is filed under the name Candidatus Omnitrophota bacterium. RNAcentral's name for it is "Candidatus Omnitrophica bacterium tRNA-Tyr". It matches the Rfam family "tRNA". From Rfam's summary of the family: Transfer RNA (tRNA) molecules are approximately 80 nucleotides in length. Their secondary structure includes four short double-helical elements and three loops (D, anti-codon, and T loops). Further hydrogen bonds mediate the characteristic L-shaped molecular structure. tRNAs have two regions of fundamental functional importance: the anti-codon, which is responsible for specific mRNA codon recognition, and the 3' end, to which the tRNAs corresponding amino acid is attached (by aminoacyl-tRNA synthetases). tRNAs cope with the degeneracy of the genetic code in two manners: having more than one tRNA (with a specific anti-codon) for a particular amino acid; and 'wobble' base-pairing, i.e. permitting non-standard base-pairing at the 3rd anti-codon position. Lineage: Bacteria; Pseudomonadati; Candidatus Omnitrophota. The record is from RNAcentral.
GGGGAGAUGGCGGAGCAGUCAAACGCACCAGACUGUAAAUCUGGCGACUUCGGUCUGCGUAGGUGCGAAUCCUACUCUCCCCACCA